Molecule: long non-coding RNA, 394 nt
Filed under: Lathyrus oleraceus (garden pea)
Lineage: Eukaryota; Viridiplantae; Streptophyta; Magnoliopsida; Fabales; Fabaceae
Description: Pisum sativum (pea) long non-coding RNA (PSAT_LNC041550)
Source: RNAcentral
UAUUGUAUGCUACUACUUACAUGGCUUAUUAGAGAAAAAAAAAUAUAUUCUAUGGUGUAGUAAAGUAGCAAAUAUAAUAAACAAAAUAAUAAAAAUAACAAAUAUAAUAAACAAAACCAAAACAUAAAAAAAAUAAUAAUAAAAAAUUAAUGUUGUCACGAACGUUGUGACCGUUGCAUGAUCAGAGGCGUGACGAGCGUAACGCAUGCUGUCACGGUCGCCACACCCCCAUGACGCCAGUCACGCAUGCUGUCACGAACGUGACAACCUGCUUUCUCGUGAAAUGUUUUUGACCGUUGUCACGACCGUUACCCCCCUUUUCAAUUCACCUUUAUUCCAUUCAUCUCACCUCUUUAUCCCCAUUCAACUCACCUCUCUAUCCACAUUAAUUUUU